This 74-nucleotide transfer RNA is filed under the name bacterium. RNAcentral describes it as "tRNA-Arg". It matches the Rfam family "tRNA". From Rfam's summary of the family: Transfer RNA (tRNA) molecules are approximately 80 nucleotides in length. RNAcentral also lists the same sequence under 2 other names. The record is from RNAcentral.
GCCCCCGUAGCUCAGAAGGAUAGAGCGACGGUUUCCUAAACCGUAGGACACAGGUUCGAAUCCUGUCGGGGGUG